AUAAAAAUCUUCUCGAGGUG
RNAcentral lists this transfer RNA (20 nucleotides) under Ambystoma maculatum (spotted salamander). RNAcentral describes it as "partial tRNA-Thr". The record is from RNAcentral. Lineage: Eukaryota; Metazoa; Chordata; Amphibia; Caudata; Ambystomatidae.